RNAcentral lists this ribosomal RNA (515 nucleotides) under uncultured Gammaproteobacteria bacterium. RNAcentral describes it as "bacterial SSU rRNA". It matches the Rfam family "Bacterial small subunit ribosomal RNA", at positions 60 to 566 of the family's 1533-position model. The record is from RNAcentral. Lineage: Bacteria; Pseudomonadati; Pseudomonadota; Gammaproteobacteria.
AGUCGAGCGGUAACAGGAUUAGCUUGCUACUCGCUGACGAGCGGCGGACGGGUGAGUAACGCGUAGGAAUCUGCCUAAUAGUUGGGGAUAGCCCGGGGAAACCCGGAUUAAUACCGAAUACGCUCUACGGAGGAAAGCAGGGGAUCUUCGGACCUUGCGCUAUUAGAUGAGCCUGCGUGAGAUUAGCUAGUUGGUGAGGUAAUGGCUCACCAAGGCGACGAUCUCUAGCUGGUCUGAGAGGAUGAUCAGCCACACUGGGACUGAGACACGGCCCAGACUCCGACGGGAGGCAGCAGUGGGGAAUAUUGCACAAUGGGCGCAAGCCUGAUGCAGCCAUACCGCGUGUGUGAAGAAGGCCUCAGGGUUGUAAAGCACUUUCAGUAGUGAGGAAAGGGGUGUAGUUAAUACCUGCAUCCUGUGACGUUAGCUACAGAAGAAGCACCGGCUAAUUCCGUGCCAGCAGCCGCGGUAAUACGGAAGGUGCAAGCGUUAAUCGGAAUUACUGGGCGUAAAGC